CCAGUCGUGCUGGCACUCGUGGAGGAGUCUCUCCCGCGUGCCGGCGAUCGCUUCCCAUUCAGCACAGACAUGGUGCCCGUACACGUCCCAUGCGGACGCUUCUGCCGGACGCACGCACAGAAGCAGCGGGUCGCAGCGACUAACCCCACUUUGCAGGGCAGCAGGCCAGGAGCAGCGCGCAGUCGGAUGCCCCAUCUCCGCAGAGCAGGGACAGCCUCCACUGAAAGCCUCUAACAGCCUAAUCACRGAGAGUUACCUCCCGGAGCACGGUUCAGAAACGUCGGAAACGAGUGUCUGCUAUUCAGUUAUAGUCUCUGCUUUAUUGCAGUCAGUGCAAAUCAGACUUUACAGUUAACUUACACGUGUUUUUUCUCUGCUGCCUUUCCCCUUUGCUUCUAGCAAUUGUGCUUGUGUCUCCCCUUACUAUUUGUUUAAUAACAGAGAGGAAAAAAAGAGGGAGACUCAAUCUGAUGUGGGAACAYUUUCUCCUUUGUAUCAAAGAACCAUCUGCUAAUUUACAAAAUACAAACAAAGUUCCUGGAUGUGCAAGAGCUCCUGUCGAGCAGCCAGGCACAAGCAGUGCCUGCGCCGCGCCAGGGAAGGUUUGUGUUUGUUCUGGAACGCGGAGCUCUCGGCCUUCUUUUAUCUUUGCGUAUUUUUCCUCCUUUCUCUCAUUUUAUUGAUCUGAGUUCAGCAUAGCCAAUUCACUCUAGCAAAAUAAUAAAUAUGGAACAUUUAUGGAAUGUUUUCCUAUUAUAAAAAGCRCUAUUGUAGACAGGAACAGAAAUUAUACAGAGCAGCAACGAUUCUGCUGGCCAGUGCAGGACCAGCUCACAGCCCUGCCYCCUCCAACCUCCGGGUUUGAAGCCACCGUCACCGUCUGCCCUCUGUUUUCYGAGCAGUUGGGUGACACAAGAGUCAAAUUAGUCCACCCACUGUUUUGAUGCUCUCUCCCCCGCUCCUUCGUGCACCACGCAGGCCAAGGCACAAUGCAACACUCAGGAGACAGCUCAGCCUUGUCCUUUCUCAGUUGUUCUGCAAGGUAGAAAAAGAAAAAAAGAAGGCGAAAAGAGAGCGAUACCGCCAGUGCUCUUCAUCUGCCGCAAGCAGAGCGCCCGGCGGCAGCUGCUGCGGUCAGGCAGCUCUCCGUGGUCUCACCAGAGCUCGUGAGGACAAAUGGCACCUCACGGAGACCGGGAGCAGAAUUCCUCCACCGGGGAUUCAGAGCUGCUGAAAUGAUCCUCUAGCCAGGAAUGCUGCAUGAGCGGCUGCCCGUGGACUGGUGCCAGCACUGCACUGGAAACUGGAAAGCAGCAGGGGCUGGCUUGCACCCGCGUCUCCUCUCAGACACAGAUAAAAAGACGGAGCUGUUUGCUGGCGACUACCGACCUCAGAACUGCAGACCUUCUCCCGGCUGCCCCUGCGGACACACCCGCGCACGAUGCCAAGCUGAGCUUCCUAUUCCUCUCGCCGGGUUUUGAGAAAGCCAUGCUGAGAGCUGCGAAACAUCAAUUUUAACCCUGAACGCAUUUCUCAAAAGAAAAUUUUUGUGCAUUUUUGUAGCAGAUCACCCAAUAAUAGCACACAGUUCAAGCAACUAACGGAGCACAAGUCUGCUUCCAAUGUGUCAGAUAGUAAUUGUGCUGUAACACCACAGUGCAUACAUGAAUAAAUACAAUUCUAAAUUCA
Dromaius novaehollandiae (emu) is the source of this 1689-nucleotide long non-coding RNA. The record is from Ensembl. NCBI's taxonomy places the organism in Eukaryota, Metazoa, Chordata, Aves, Casuariiformes, Dromaiidae.